AUCUAGUUGAUGAAUCCCAGACAAGACGGAAUGCGCAUCCUUGAU
RNAcentral lists this non-coding RNA (45 nucleotides) under Trichobilharzia regenti. Lineage: Eukaryota; Metazoa; Platyhelminthes; Trematoda; Strigeidida; Schistosomatidae. The record is from RNAcentral.